Molecule: ribosomal RNA, 201 nt
Filed under: Enterococcus faecalis
Lineage: Bacteria; Bacillati; Bacillota; Bacilli; Lactobacillales; Enterococcaceae
Description: partial 16S ribosomal RNA
Rfam family: Bacterial small subunit ribosomal RNA
Source: RNAcentral
UUAUUAUGAGAGUUUGAUCCUGGCUCAGGACGAACGCUGGCGGCGUGCCUAAUACAUGCAAGUCGAACGCUUCUUUCCUCCCGAGUGCUUGCACUCAAUUGGAAAGAGGAGUGGCGGACGGGUGAGUAACACGUGGGUAACCUACCCAUCAGAGGGGGAUAACACUUGGAAACAGGUGCUAAUACCGCAUAACAGUUUAUG